Molecule: non-coding RNA, 1874 nt
Organism: Amborella trichopoda
Lineage: Eukaryota; Viridiplantae; Streptophyta; Magnoliopsida; Amborellales; Amborellaceae
Source: RefSeq, a predicted model, not a curated record
UUAAGGAAAAAUAUUUAAGCCUGAAUUCCUUUAAGUUCAAACCAAAAGCAAUCUUCUUCACUUUGGCUUGUUCAUGGACCUGAAAGGCUCACCAUCUAAGGUAGAUGGUACCCUCAGAUUCUUUGAACGACUUGGAAUCAAUGAACCCAUGCCUGAAAUUGCCUAUCAAAAUGGCUUCAACACUGACCUAAUUCGAAGCUGUCUCCAGGUCCAAAGCGUUGAGCUUGGUCACAUAGUGUGCAGCUUCAAACUCAAGCCCCAAGUGACCAAUGCUUAUAAUACAUUUCAUGGUGGAGGAGUGGCUUCCACUGCAACAACGGUGGCCUCGGCGUGCAUGCAAACCCUAAUUGCUGAUAAGCCCUUCUUUCUUGGUGAAUUGGCUGUGACCUAUCUUUCUGCUGCAAACAUCAAGAUGGAAUUGGAAAUUGAAGCAAGAGUGCUAAGAAUGGGACGAAGUGUGGGUAUGGUCUCUGUGGAAUUCAAGGAUAAGGGGACCAAAAAGCUGGUUUAUGCUGCUCGUGCCACCUUCUAUAACACUCCUGUUUCAAAUCUUUGAUGCUUGAGGUUCUCAUUUCUCUUCGACAAAGUACUAGUCUUUUAUCGAGUAGUGUGGUUUACCUCAAGUUGCGGUGUUUUGCACUAUAUAUUUUAGUCAGGUUGGGGAAUGCUUGAGUCCUGAGCCAAGUCAUCCUAUCCAACAUAGGAGAGUCUCAAUUCAGGUUGGGUUUUUUAAACAAAGCAAUUAUUUAUUUAUUUGAAAAAUUGCCUUCUCAGGGUGAAUCCCAAAGCUCUACGUUUGGACAAGGGUGGCAAUGGGCCAGGCCUGGUCUGGCCCGAGCCUGGCUGGGACCCGGGCAGGGCCUGAGGGACCCUAGCCUUUGCUUGACCGUACUCUUGGGCUAGGUGGCCCAACUGGACCGAUUAAUGUGGUCGGGCAGGGUUGGUUGGACUGGGCCAAUAAAUGUUAUUUAUUUAUUUCUAAAUUCGUUUACAAAAUAAAUAAAAGGAAGGACCAGGCCAUGCCAGGCCGGGCCGAACUAGGUAAGACCCGUGGCCCAAUCCCAGACACUAGGUCUAUAUUGCAGGCCAGAGCCUGGCCUACAUGACUGGCGGGCCUUCAAUCCAAGCCUACUCAAGUGAGUCUUGCUCUUUGUCACUGAGUUUUUUUAUCAUUGGUUAAGCUGUUAAGGGUUUGAAUCUCCAAUAUACCUUUUUCUGUGGUUCCUAUACAAAAUUAGUGGCUUGUCGUCUCUCUCUUGUGCAGGAAGUUUCCUAUGAUUAUGGCUAUGCACUCGAUAGAUUGGUGGGUACUGAUGGCAAGAUCAAGGAAAUGCCUUGCUAUUGUGAAUCUUCGGUUUGUUGGAAGCGUUUGUAUUAGAUGAAGACUCAAAAAUAGUAAUAAUCUUGAACUGACCUUUUGGAAUUUGAUUUGGUUCACGGCAUAUUAUUCAAGGACGAGGUUGAUGAAUCUAGUUGGUGGAAGAUGUUUUUUGCGGAAUGGUGGAAGUGGUUUAUAGUCCAACUAUGUGGGCAUAUUAUGGUUUUGUUUGCAUUGCCUUUAAUCAACUGGUAACCUGGAGCCAUUAAGGAGGUGAAGAAUUUGACUUUUUGUGGAGUGGAGACAUUUGAGCGUUGUAAGGUUUUGCAUAGGAUUUGGACAAGGCCAGUCUCAAGAAGGUAAGGUUGUAUUGUUAUGUAAAACUAAGUAGUCCCACUCUAAACUUUCAGCUGGGAUUUCCUUUUGGACAGUUUCCCUAGUUUUGUAACAUCUUUAUUUGUUAUGUGGCAGUUUUGUUUCCUUCCAAUGUCUACUUGCAUAUGUAGUUCUUUUUGUAUAGAUGCCUAAUUUUGUAAUGUUGAGCCAGUAUGGUUAA